CCUACGGGUGGCAGCAGUCGAGAAUCAUUCACAAUGGGGGAAACCCUGAUGGUGCGACGCCGCGUGGGGGAAUGAAGGUCUUCGGAUUGUAAACCCCUGUCAUGUGGGCGCAAAUUAAAAAGAUAGUACCACAAGAGGAAGAGACGGCUAACUCUGUGCCAGCAGCCGCGGUAAUACAGAGGUCUCAAGCGUUGUUCGGAAUCACUGGGCGGAAAGCGUGCGUAGGCUGUUUCGUAAGUCGUGUGUGAAAGGCGCGGGCUCAACCCGCGGACGGCACAUGAUACUGCGAGACUAGAGUAAUGGAGGGGGAACCGGAAUUCUCGGUGUAGCAGUGAAAUGCGUAGAUAUCGAGAGGAACACUCGUGGCGAAGGCGGGUUCCUGGACAUUAACUGACGCUGAGGCACGAAGGCCAGGGGAGCGAAAGGGAUUAGAUACCCCAGUAGUC
Molecule: ribosomal RNA, 446 nt
Filed under: uncultured bacterium
Lineage: Bacteria
Description: partial 16S ribosomal RNA
Rfam family: Bacterial small subunit ribosomal RNA
Source: RNAcentral